Molecule: unclassified non-coding RNA, 292 nt
Filed under: Hevea brasiliensis (rubber tree)
Lineage: Eukaryota; Viridiplantae; Streptophyta; Magnoliopsida; Malpighiales; Euphorbiaceae
Source: RNAcentral
CCCUUCAUUGGCCUUUGUUAUGUACUUCUUGGAUAAAGGGGUGUUAUCAUCAUCUGAAUCUUCAUCUUUGACAAAAUUAGGUGCAUUUCUAUUGGUUCCCUUAAUUCUAGAACUCAAUGGUAAAUCAUCCUCAGAAUCAUCUUCAGCACUAUUUGAUUUAGUUUCACGUUUAACAGACUUGAUAUCCUCCACAACAACAUUAGAUGCACUAUGUUUAGAUGCCUGUUUCAAGUGUUCAUCUAAAUAACUUGAUGCUUUUGAAUUUGCCACCGGUGACUUCAUUGGAGAUGCU